GACGAACGCUGGCGGCGUGCCUAAUACAUGCAAGUCGAGCGGACCAACCAGGAGCUUGCUCUUGUUUCGUUAGCGGCGGACGGGUGAGUAACACGUGGGUAACCUGCCCGUAAGACCGGGAUAACUUCGGGAAACCGGAGCUAAUACCGGAUAACACCGUAAACCGCAUGGUCCUUGGUUGAAAGGCGGCUUUGCCUGCCACUUACGGUUGAUCCCGCGCGCAAUUACCUAGUGGGAAAGUAAACGGCUACCCAAGGAAACAAGCGUAAGCCGCCCUGAGAGGUGAAUCGCCCACAUGGGAACGGGACAAGGGCCAGGACCCCUCCGGAGGCAGCAGUAGGGAAUCUUUCGCCAUGGAGGGAAGUCUGAAGGAGCGACGCCGCGUGGGCGGAGGAGGUCUUCGGAUCGUAAAGCUCUGUUGUUAGGGAAGAAGAAGCGCCGUUCGAAAAGGGCGGCGUGGUGACGGUACCUAACGAGAAAGCCCCGGCUAACUACGUG
RNAcentral lists this ribosomal RNA (498 nucleotides) under uncultured bacterium. Its description in RNAcentral is "partial 16S ribosomal RNA". It matches the Rfam family "Bacterial small subunit ribosomal RNA", at positions 28 to 507 of the family's 1533-position model. The record is from RNAcentral.